Molecule: long non-coding RNA, 942 nt
Filed under: Ananas comosus (pineapple)
Lineage: Eukaryota; Viridiplantae; Streptophyta; Magnoliopsida; Poales; Bromeliaceae
Description: long non-coding RNA (ACOM_LNC020984)
Source: RNAcentral
AAUUAGAAUUAUUUUCAACUAUUUUAAACUACUUGAAACAAAAUUUUAUUAUUUUUUACAACUUUUUACCUCUGCAUUAAGUCACCUCAAAUUUCCCAAUUUUAAUUAGGAAUGUCAACGGGUCAGAUUCAAGAUGAAUUUUUAAAAAUCUGAGUCCAAACACAACUAUCAAAUCCAAAACCCAAACGCGAACCCGAACUCGAAUCUGAUGAAUUUUAAAAACUUAUAUCCAAAUCCAAAAAUGACCAAAAAUCUAAAACUCAAAAUCCAAAUCUGAACACGAAAAUCCGAACCUGAAACAACUAUUUCUCUUUACAAUAUAUCAAAACAUAUUAUAUUAAAUUUAAACUUUUAAAAUACAAAUUCAAAUAUAACAUCAAACAUAUAUAGCACCACUAUCAUUCUAACCGUAUAUCGCUUCAUCCAAGGGCCGAAAUGUCACACCCCGGGGUUCCUUUUUAAGUUUAAAAACGGUGCGAAAGUGCCCAAAUUUUUUUUUUUUUUUGAAAGCCUUGACCCCAGAGGACAUCAAAUCCGCCGCAAAUACAGAGAAUUUACCGUUCAUACGGACAAAGUCUCACCUGUAUUUACUCGACGUCGCACAAGUAUAAGAUACAACCACAUAGUAUAAACAUUCAUAUACAAUCACCACAUCACAUAUACUAUUCACAUUCAUUUCAUCACCAGUUUAUCAUAAAUCCAUAUCUAUUAGUUUAAAAAGUUUUCCACUCAAAAACUUAUUUUGAAAUACUAAGAAUCAUGAAAUCAGAAAAACUCUUUUUAAAAUCGUUUCCACACGAAAAUAUUUUCCUUUAAAGAAAACAUGCUACCACGAGGGGUAGAAAACCGUUUUCAUCUCAUAAGAAAACCAUAAGUACAAUAUUACUUUCAUAAAACUAUAUUUGUCCAAAUAAAAUAAAACCAGCUAAACCAUAAUAUCUA